Long non-coding RNA from Brachypodium distachyon (stiff brome), 955 nucleotides. RefSeq lists it as uncharacterized. The transcript is spliced from 2 exons. The record is from RefSeq and is a predicted model, not a curated record. NCBI's taxonomy places the organism in Eukaryota, Viridiplantae, Streptophyta, Magnoliopsida, Poales, Poaceae.
GAGAAGGACGCAGCUAGCAGCUAAAAUAAGCCAGCAGCAAUCAGCAUCGAGGCGCGCUUCCUAGUUGGUCACAAAGGCUCCCACAACACCAUGGCAGGGGGAUUGGUGGCAUGUCAUCAUGAGUCGUUUUCCUACGGGCGCAGUUGCUGCUGCAGUUCACCGCACCUGAAAUAAAGCCAGGGGACCCAAAAGCUCAGAUGGACUUGGGGGUUGUCCUGGACACCAGCGGGAGCAUGGCGGGGGAUAAGCUGGAGAAUCUGAAGAAAGGCAUGGAGAAGGUCAUCUCUUGGCUCCGCGGCCUUGACCGCUUGUGCAUCGUUACCUUCAGUGACGAUGCUGAUCUCAAGUACGACCUGACCUUGAUGGGUCCAGUCGAGUAGAAAGAAGCGUCACGUAUAAUAAGGGAAGACAUUAAAGCGGACGGGUGGACCAAUAUGGAGGCAGGCCUCCGGGUCCUCCAAGAACGUGAGAGAACGGACCAUCAGGGUGUUAUCUUUCUCCUGUCCGACGGAGCUGAGAACAUAGGUAACGCUCGGCUGGUCCGCGUCAUAGACUACGCCGUCGAGACGUUUGGCUUCGGAUCGGACAAGGACGCCACGGCAAGUUGAUCCAUAUCUAUCAUGCAUGUUAAUUACAGUACUACUUCAUCCGAUCCAUUAUAUACUGAAACACUUACUGUAUUAUAUAUGGACCUUUUUUCCGGUCUCUCUCAAUGUAUAAUACCUGCCUGUGUACGUAUAUAGAUCCUCCAAGAUAUCUCGCGCCCUCCCGCCGCUCCUCUUUGUGCUGCUACUUGGACGGGAGGCGCGUACAAUGAUGUUACCGACGUGACGAAGCUGACGUCGACGUUCUCGCGGCCUUCUUAUAUCCACAAGCACAUGGUCGUCAAGGACCUGGUGGUGAAGCUGCAGUCCGUGAACCUCAUAAUCAGCGGGUCAAUACGGCGGGCGGCUUG